AGUGAACGCUGGCGGUAGGCCUAACACAUGCAAGUCGAACGGCAGCACAGUAAGAGCUUGCUCUUACGGGUGGCGAGUGGCGGACGGGUGAGGAAUACAUCGGAAUCUACUUUUUCGUGGGGGAUAACGUAGGGAAACUUACGCUAAUACCGCAUACGACCUACUGGUGAAAGCAGGGGAUCUUCGGACCUUGCGCGAUUGAAUGAGCCGAUGUCGGAUUCGCUAGUUGGCGGGGUAAAGGCGCACCAAGGCGACGAUCCGUAGCUGGUCUGAGAGGAUGAUCAGCCACACUGGAACUGAGACACGGUCCAGACUCCUACGGGAGGAAGCAGUGGGGAAUAUUGGACAAUGGGCGCAAGCCUGAUCCAGCCAUACCGCGUGGGUGAAGAAGGCCUUCGGGUUGUAGAGCCCUUUUGUUGGGAAAGAAAAGCAGCAGGUUAAUACCCCGCUGUUCUGACGGUACCCAGAGAAUAAGCACCGGCUAACUUCGUG
This 492-nucleotide ribosomal RNA is filed under the name uncultured bacterium. RNAcentral describes it as "partial 16S ribosomal RNA". It matches the Rfam family "Bacterial small subunit ribosomal RNA", at positions 29 to 507 of the family's 1533-position model. The record is from RNAcentral.